UUAAAGACGAGUGUUAUUCAUGUUUAAUCGGUUUAAAGAGUCCCAAGACUGUUAAUAAAGCCUANCGGGACACAUUAACUAGAGUUAUAUGAAAGGGGGCUGAGAGGUACUGUCGGGUGGAGAGAUAAAAUUCAAUUAUACAGAUGAUGGCACCAACGAAUGCGAAGGCAUCCCCUUAUGUAAUAACUGACGUUUUCAGACGAAGGCUUAGGGAAGAAAAAUGGAUUAGAUACCCUCGUAUUCUAAGCAGAAAAUGAUGAAUGUCAUAGGUUGAAGAUAAAUAAUAUUUAUUUUGGUCUAUAAAUGAAAGUGUAAGCAUUCCACCUCAAGAGUAAUUUGGCAACAUUGGAACUGAAAUCAUUAGGCCGUUUUUGAAACCAGUAGUGAAGUAUGUUGUUUAAUUUGAUAACCCGCACAAAACCUUACCACUAUUUGUAUAAAUAUUUAUAUAUAUAUUUACAAGUGUUGCACGGCUGUCUUCAGUUAAUGUCGUGAGGCAAGGUUACUCCUAACAAUCAACGCAAACCCUUACUUUAUUUUUAUAUAAAGUUGUUCACCUCUUAUGGGAGAUGCUAAUAGGG
This 581-nucleotide ribosomal RNA is filed under the name Nephroma bellum. Its description in RNAcentral is "SSU rRNA". It matches the Rfam family "Bacterial small subunit ribosomal RNA", at positions 528 to 1174 of the family's 1533-position model. The record is from RNAcentral. Lineage: Eukaryota; Fungi; Ascomycota; Lecanoromycetes; Peltigerales; Nephromataceae.